UCGAUCUGCUAUGCAAGGAAGGAGAUAAGCUAUGGCUAUUGGCUUGUUGUUCUUGCGGAUUUGGGAGGGAAUCCUGGUUGCUUCUUUGUUGUGCAAAUGAAACAGAGAAAGUAGAUGCCGUCUUUUUCAGAUUUAGGGAGGAUUAGGCUUUGGUUACUUCCUGUGUAGAGAGGACAGAGAUGAGAGCUGCUUCCUGGCAGCGCGGAGGCUAGCAGUUACCAGGUUCAUGGAAUCAAUCAGAGAUAAGCUCUCUGCGCGGCAACAAAAACGAUAGCAAGGCCCAACAACCAAAUCUACAAAGGCGAGGCCCAAAAAAUCACACAGCCAGACAGAGAGUGGCCGCCCCGGCUGCUGCGCGGAAGCAACCGGCGGCGACUGCCGGCGCGAGCCGCUCAGAUCGGGUAGCAACGGCGAGCGGGCGUACACUACACGCGUGCGGCGGCAGCGCUGGCGCCGGAAGCAAACUGAACGGCGAUGCACCCACUGACGCACGCUGAAGCCUGAAGCGCGCAUGGUGCUUCACAAAAUGGGCCCCGUGACGUGGUGAGGGGCUUACAACGGCAGGUGGCGGAAGGCGGCGCGGUGGCUCAGGCAUGCUCACGGCCUCUGCUCACUGCCUCACCGGCGCCGUAGGCUGCUUCCUCCUGGGUGCCGGGCAUCCGGGCAACGUGCGCGGGCACGAGCUGUUCGACGUAAUGGCUCGCCGCCGCGUCAAGCGCCGCCUGUGCCGGGGUCAGCUGAAGAGAAAACAAGUUGUUGAAGGUAAAAAUUCAAUUUUGCAUACUCCAAUAUGGCUUCGUUUCGUGUAGCCUCUUUUUCAUAAAUGGGUAUGUAAUUUCUUGCUUCUAAUAUUCCAACCCUUCGAAAAAGAGGUGUGUGAAGAGAAGAAGACACCUCCUUUGCGAAUGGUGAUUCUGAAUGUUCAACUAUAUCUUGAAGGCAACAUCUAGUGAAAGAGAUUGCUUCAUCCAGUACCUUAUCUCCAUGUCUCCUCAAAUAUGCUGCAUUAUAUAAGCUUAACAAACUUCUUGUGUCAGCAAUGGCAAAGUUCCCAUCUUGUAUUUUAAAAUUUAGGAAUACAUCUGUAAAAUAUAGAUGCAUAGUGAAAGUUAGCUAUUUUCCAUUUACUUUUUUUUAAAAAAAAUUGACAAGUCAGUUCUAGCGAGAAAGUCUUACCUGAUGACACAUCGUAAUUGUUCUUUCUUAGAAGGUAAAACCGCAGUGAAACUAAGUUUAGAUCCUUAUCAUUGUAAUCUAAGUUGUGAAUAUCUUGCAGUAACUUGUCUAUCUCAUUCUCGUAGUAGUAAUCUAGUCCAAGUCGUUGCAAUGUGAUUAUAAGAUCCAUUGUUUCCCGUAAAUCAGUUGAGCCAUUCACUAUCUUCCUAACAUCUUCUCUUAGCACCACAGCUCUUUCUUUCAUGUAUUCGUGCUGCAGAGAAGAAGUAUCAAGAAUUUCAUGACACUAUGACAGCAUGUCAGCAUGCAACGACGAAGCUUGUUCCUCAUCUUCAGUGGGAUGCCAUUGUUACCUGAGGCGCAGUUGGUGGCUGGUAUGUCAGGAAGAAAUCACCCCACAGGCUUGGGUGGAAGGUAGUAGCCUUCCGUAGCUCCUCUGCCUUUUGGUCAUGAUCUACAGAAGCAGGCGCCAUGUUCUCAAUUCCACUCUAGUUUAUAUUUUCUUGCAGAUGUUUCUGAUAGAUUUGUUAGUGCCUAUCUGUGUUGCAUUGCAUAGGUAUUUAUAGGCGAUGCAGACAUGAAGCCCAGCAACACAUACUUAUUUCUAAGCAAUUGUGCACAGUUAACACGAUCUCUGUGACGAUGACA
Molecule: long non-coding RNA, 1824 nt
Organism: Panicum virgatum (switchgrass)
Lineage: Eukaryota; Viridiplantae; Streptophyta; Magnoliopsida; Poales; Poaceae
Exons: 2
Source: RefSeq, a predicted model, not a curated record